This 468-nucleotide ribosomal RNA is filed under the name uncultured bacterium. Its description in RNAcentral is "partial 16S ribosomal RNA". It matches the Rfam family "Bacterial small subunit ribosomal RNA", at positions 28 to 507 of the family's 1533-position model. The record is from RNAcentral.
GACGAACGCUGGCGGCGUGCUUAACACAUGCAAGUCGAACGGAAAGGCCCUGCUUUUGUGGGGUGCUCGAGUGGCGAACGGGUGAGUAACACGUGAGUAACCUGCCCUUGACUUUGGGAUAACUUCAGGAAACUGGGGCUAAUACCGGAUAGGAGCUCCUGCUGCAUGGUGGUGGUUGGAAAGUUUCGGCGGUUGGGGAUGGACUCGCGGGUUAUCAGCUUGUUGGUGGGGUAGUGGCUUACCAAGGCUUUGACGGGUAGCCGGCCUGAGAGGGUGACCGGCCACAUUGGGACUGAGAUACGGACCAGACUCCUACGGGAGGCAGCAGUGGGGAAUAUUGCACAGUGGGCGGAAGCCUGAUGCAGCAACGCCGCGUGCGGGAUGACGGCUUUCGGGUUGUAAACCGCUUUCGCAUGUGACGAAGCGUGAGUGACGGUAAUGGGUAAAGAAGCACCGGCUAACUACGUG